RNAcentral lists this long non-coding RNA (206 nucleotides) under Capsicum annuum. Its description in RNAcentral is "long non-coding RNA (CANN_LNC014857)". The record is from RNAcentral. Lineage: Eukaryota; Viridiplantae; Streptophyta; Magnoliopsida; Solanales; Solanaceae.
UACGUGUGCAGAUGUUUGUAAGAAAUGCUAAAAGAUAAUAAAUUGAUUAAAAAAAAAUCCUAAUAUACAGAGAAUUAUCAAUAAAUUAUUAAAAGUACAAAUAUGAAAAUAAAUUGGAAAAAAUCCUAAAUUAAGGAUGAAUAUCAAUAAUUUAUUAACAAUUGUAAAAAAUAUGUGAAAAUUAUAUUUUGUGCUCUUUAACGGUC